UUAAGAGGUAAUCUCAAGACCUAUGAAUCUACUAUUCUUAACCCUCUUGUUGAUGAUCAAAGUAGGCAAAGAAUAGCUCUAAAGGCGAGCACAAGUCAACCGCAAAUUGAUGAGGAAGGAGACACGAGUUUGGACUCGUUAUCAAAAGAUUUCAAAAGAUCAUGCGCAAGGAGUAUGAACGCAAAGGGAAAAAGCAAGGAGAAAUAAAAUGCUACGAAUGC
Molecule: long non-coding RNA, 221 nt
Filed under: Nicotiana benthamiana
Lineage: Eukaryota; Viridiplantae; Streptophyta; Magnoliopsida; Solanales; Solanaceae
Description: long non-coding RNA (NBEN_LNC000672)
Source: RNAcentral